This 694-nucleotide ribosomal RNA is filed under the name uncultured bacterium. RNAcentral's name for it is "bacterial SSU rRNA". It matches the Rfam family "Bacterial small subunit ribosomal RNA", at positions 140 to 828 of the family's 1533-position model. The record is from RNAcentral.
GGGAUAAUCGGGAGAAAUCCCGUCUAAUACCGCGUAAUGCCGCGGGGCUGCAUGGCCCUGCGGCCAAAGGGAGCGAUUCCGGCAACGGAUGGGCAUGCGUGACAUUAGCUAGUUGGCGGGGCAACGGCCCACCAAGGCGACGAUGUCUAGGGGUUCUGAGAGGAAGGUCCCCCACACUGGUACUGAAACACGGACCAGACUCCUACGGGAGGCAGCAGUGAGGAAUAUUGGUCAAUGGGCGCGAGCCUGAACCAGCCAAGUCGCGUGAGGGAUGACGGCCCUACGGGUUGUAAACCUCUUUUGUCGGGGAGCAAAUUCCGCCACGUGUGGCGGAGUCGAGAGUACCCGAAGAAAAAGCAUCGGCUAACUCCGUGCCAGCAGCCGCGGUAAUACGGAGGAUGCGAGCGUUAUCCGGAUUUAUUGGGUUUAAAGGGUGCGUAGGCGGACUGUCAAGUCAGCGGUAAAAUACGGGGGCUCAACCUCCGCCCGCCGUUGAAACUGACGGUCUUGAGUGGGCGAGAAGUAUGCGGAAUGCGUGGUGUAGCGGUGAAAUGCAUAGAUAUCACGCAGAACUCCGAUUGCGAAGGCAGCAUACCGGCGCCCAACUGACGCUGAAGCACGAAAGCGUGGGUAUCGAACAGGAUUAGAUACCCUGGUAGUCCACGCAGUAAACGAUGAAUAAUAGCUGUCCGGG